AACGAAACGCUGGCGGUAUGCUUAACACAUGCAAGUCGAACGAACAAAUUUGGGGCUUGCUCCAGAUUUAGUGAGUGGCAAACGGGUGGGUAAACACGUGGGAAUCUACCCAUCAGUACGGAAUAGCAUUUGGAAACAGAUGAUAAUACCGUAUAUUCUCUAAGGAGGAAAGAUUUAUCGCUGAUGGAUGAGCCCGCGUAAGAUUAGGUAGUUGGUAGGGUAAUGGCCUACCAAGCCGACGAUCUUUAGCUGGUCUGAGAGGAUGAUCAGCCACACUGGGACUGAGACACGGCCCAGACUCCUACGGGAGGGCAGCAGUGGGGAAUAUUGGACAAUGGGCGAAAGCCUGAUCCAGCAAAUACCGCGUGAAUGAUGAAGGCCUUA
Molecule: ribosomal RNA, 384 nt
Filed under: uncultured bacterium
Lineage: Bacteria
Description: bacterial SSU rRNA
Rfam family: Bacterial small subunit ribosomal RNA
Source: RNAcentral